Molecule: ribosomal RNA, 744 nt
Filed under: uncultured bacterium
Lineage: Bacteria
Description: bacterial SSU rRNA
Rfam family: Bacterial small subunit ribosomal RNA
Source: RNAcentral
AGAGUUUGAUCCUGGCUCAGAGCGAACGCUGGCGGCAGGCUUAACACAUGCAAGUCGAGCGGGCGUAGCAAUACGUCAGCGGCAGACGGGUGAGUAACGCGUGGGAACGUACCUUUUGGUUCGGAACAACACAGGGAAACUUGUGCUAAUACCGGAUAAGCCCUUACGGGGAAAGAUUUAUCGCCGAAAGAUCGGCCCGCGUCUGAUUAGCUAGUUGGUGAGGUAACGGCUCACCAAGGCGACGAUCAGUAGCUGGUCUGAGAGGAUGAUCAGCCACAUUGGGACUGAGACACGGCCCAAACUCCUACGGGAGGCAGCAGUGGGGAAUAUUGGACAAUGGGCGCAAGCCUGAUCCAGCCAUGCCGCGUGAGUGAUGAAGGCCCUAGGGUUGUAAAGCUCUUUUGUGCGGGAAGAUAAUGACGGUACCGCAAGAAUAAGCCCCGGCUAACUUCGUGCCAGCAGCCGCGGUAAUACGAAGGGGGCUAGCGUUGCUCGGAAUCACUGGGCGUAAAGGGUGCGUAGGCGGGUCUUUAAGUCAGGGGUGAAAUCCUGGAGCUCAACUCCAGAACUGCCUUUGAUACUGAGGAUCUUGAGUUCGGGAGAGGUGAGUGGAACUGCGAGUGUAGAGGUGAAAUUCGUAGAUAUUCGCAAGAACACCAGUGGCGAAGGCGGCUCACUGGCCCGAUACUGACGCUGAGGCACGAAAGCGUGGGGAGCAAACAGGAUUAGAUACCCCGGUAGUCC